This 578-nucleotide ribosomal RNA is filed under the name uncultured bacterium. Its description in RNAcentral is "partial 16S ribosomal RNA". It matches the Rfam family "Bacterial small subunit ribosomal RNA", at positions 355 to 926 of the family's 1533-position model. The record is from RNAcentral.
UGGGGAAUUUUGGACAAUGGGCGAAAGCCUGAUCCAGCAAUGCCGCGUGUGUGAAGAAGGCCUUCGGGUUGUAAAGUACUUUUGUCCGGAAAGAAAUCCUUGGCUCUAAUACAGUCGGGGGAUGACGGUACCGGAAGAAUAAGCACCGGCUAACUACGUGCCAGCAGCCGCGGUAAUACGUAGGGUGCAAGCGUUAAUCGGAAUUACUGGGCGUAAAGCGUGCGCAGGCGGUUUGCUAAGACCGAUGUGAAAUCCCCGGGCUCAACCUGGGAACUGCAUUGGUGACUGGCAGGCUAGAGUAUGGCAGAGGGGGGUAGAAUUCCACGUGUAGCAGUGAAAUGCGUAGAGAUGUGGAGGAAUACCGAUGGCGAAGGCAGCCCCCUGGGCCAAUACUGACGCUCAUGCACGAAAGCGUGGGGAGCAAACAGGAUUAGAUACCCUGGUAGUCCACGCCCUAAACGAUGUCAACUAGUUGUUGGGGAUUCAUUUCCUUAGUAACGUAGCUAACGCGUGAAGUUGACCGCCUGGGGAGUACGGUCGCAAGAUUAAAACUCAAAUGAAUUGACGGGGUCAAGCUG